This 468-nucleotide ribosomal RNA is filed under the name uncultured bacterium. RNAcentral's name for it is "partial 16S ribosomal RNA". It matches the Rfam family "Bacterial small subunit ribosomal RNA", at positions 28 to 507 of the family's 1533-position model. The record is from RNAcentral.
GACGAACGCUGGCGGCGUGCUUAACACAUGCAAGUCGAACGGAAAGGCCCUGCUUUUGUGGGGUGCUCGAGUGGCGAACGGGUGAGUAACACGUGAGUAACCUGCCCUUGACUUUGGGAUAACUUCAGGAAACUGGGGCUAAUACCGGAUAGGAGCUCCUGCUGCAUGGUGGGGGUUGGAAAGUUUCGGCGGUUGGGGAUGGACUCGCGGCUUAUCAGCUUGUUGGUGGGGUAGUGGCUUACCAAGGCUUUGACGGGUAGCCGGCCUGAGAGGGUGACCGGCCACAAGGGGACUGAGAUACGGCCCAGACUGCAACGGGAGGCAGCGGUGGGAAAUAUUGCACAAUGGGCGGAAGCCUGAUGCAGCAACGCCGCGUGCGGGAUGACGGCCUUCGGGUUAUAAACCGCUUUCGCCUGUGACGAAGCGUGAGUGACGGUAAUGGGUAAAGAAGCACCGGCUAACUACGUG